UUUUGCAUCGGGGGCGGCCUAGCGGUUGCCAGCGCGCCGGGGAGGGAGCGUUCUGCCUGAGGCCUCACACGGCGAUAACGAAUGUUCAGCCCGUUGGAAACAAACUGCGUCUGCACUAUGCGGUCAGGAUUUGACCGUUGUUUGGGCGCUGUUGAAAAGCCAGAGAAGCUGACAGAUGGAGAGUUCCCACCACUCGUCGGACGGUUUAGCCCUUCCCAACACAUGACGCGUUACAAGUCAUCCGGUCACCGGUCAGAAGCGGCCUGCUCCUGUUGAAUACACCGGCGCUGCAGACCUCUGCUCAGCCACGUGCAGGAGUGAUGCUGGGAUCCAGGGAUACAGAUGCAGCAGAGGAGUCCAGACUGUGGUUAAAAAACAAACCAAAACCACAUUAAUCUCAGAUUGAAUUCAUAGGGGUUAUGGUUUAAAAGCCACAGACUGCCACCUCAAACUGUGUGGAAAUGUAUAGCUAGAAGGGAUUUUAAAUAAACUGCACUGAUCCUGUCUCCUGAUUGCAGGCAAUAGAAAAAAAGGAGA
Long non-coding RNA from Fundulus heteroclitus (mummichog), 537 nucleotides. RefSeq lists it as uncharacterized. The transcript has 3 exons. The record is from RefSeq and is a predicted model, not a curated record. Lineage: Eukaryota; Metazoa; Chordata; Actinopteri; Cyprinodontiformes; Fundulidae.